Molecule: ribosomal RNA, 460 nt
Filed under: uncultured bacterium
Lineage: Bacteria
Description: partial 16S ribosomal RNA
Rfam family: Bacterial small subunit ribosomal RNA
Source: RNAcentral
CCUACGGGAGGCUGCAGUGAGGAAUAUUGGUCAAUGGACGCGAGUCUGAACCAGCCAAGUCGCGUGAAGGAUGACUGCCCUAUGGUUUGUAAACUUCUUUUAUAUGGGAAUAAAAUGUUCCACGUGUGGGAUUUUGUAUGUACCCUAUGAAUAAGCAUCGGCUAACUCCGUGCCAGCAGCCGCGGUAGUACGGAGGAUCCGAGCGUUAUCCGGUGUUAUUGGGUUUAAAGGGAGCGUAGGUGGAUUGUUAAGUCAGUUGUGAAAGUUUGCGGCUCAACCGUAAGAUUGCAGUUGAAACUGGCAGUCUUGAGUACAGUAGAGGUGGGCGGAAUUCGUGGUGUAGCGGUGAAAUGCGUAGAUAUCACGAAGAACUCCGAUUGCGAAGGCAGCUCACUGGACUGCAACUGACACUGAGGCGCGAAAGUGUGGGUAUCAAACAGGAUUAGAUACCCGGGUAGUC